Long non-coding RNA from Papaver somniferum (opium poppy), 1217 nucleotides. RefSeq lists it as uncharacterized. Lineage: Eukaryota; Viridiplantae; Streptophyta; Magnoliopsida; Ranunculales; Papaveraceae. The record is from RefSeq and is a predicted model, not a curated record. The transcript has 3 exons.
UAACCCCACGUUCACUGUGUAACUGAAGAGCAAAAAGGAAAAAAAAAGCCUCGGAUUUUCAGAACUGAUCUUCAUCUUCACAACCCUACUCAUCUAAUCUAAAAAUUGAUUGCUCAUCUAAACUGAUCUUCAUUCUCACAACCCUACUCAUCUAAUUUGGUUUCUAUUAUUGUUCUGCUUCAAGAAUCAUCAAUAACCGGAAACAGAUUUGUCUGCUCCCCCAUCACCGUGAUUAAAAAUCUGUGAAUUCAUCAUCUUAAUUAAUUUUUUUUUCAAUGUCUCACGAAUUUAGGCCAGACAAUUGCUGAUUCUGCAUGAAUUGAUUAUCAAUUUUGUAUCCCAAGUUCUCCAAUUCUCUUAUAAAAUUUACACCCUUUUAACAGUUUAUAAGAGGGUAAGAUUUCUUAUUGGUCGUUUCUGGAUUCAUCAUCUAUGAGCACUUACAAAAUCUGAAGAAGAAAAAAGGUAACAAUUAUUAUCCUCCCUUGGGUUGUUCUCAAUGGUUUCUCUGGAUUUUGAAAUGCUUGCGGGGAAAGAAUGCUCAUGCAACUUAAGAACUAAAAAAAUCAAUUACAUAAAUAGAGAACCAUUCAUAUAAAAUGGUUAGAACAGAUUCCAAACUCAAUAUGAAAGUACUCUUAAGAGAUGCAAGUACGAAUUCCUCUCAACUGGUGAGAAUAAUCUACAUGAGUUGGGUAAACACAAUUCUUCAUUUUGCUCAAUUCUUGGUGUUUUUGAUGGCAUUCGGCAGUUCUGCUCAUCAAGCUUUAUGUAUAACUGGAACCAAAUAGGGAAGCAAGCUGCUUUGGCCUAGCGCUACUUACGCAGUGAGCACUAUAUUUCUGUAGGUUGGUAAAUGGAAGCUUCUAGUGUAGAUGGAUCCAUAUCAAUCGGCGUCCUUAACCAGUUCUGUAGGAGAAUCAAUGCUUUCACAGUUCGGGGUCUUAAAGAACUACGGAAAUGACCAAGUAUUCGCUUUCCAGUACUGAAAGCAGAUUCACUUGCAACUGAAGAGACGGGAAUAACAAGUAUGUCUCUUGCUAUAAGUGACAGAAUAUCAAACCUUGCAUUAUUGCUUUUCCACCAAGUCAAUAUAUCAAACUUUGAACCUUCUUUCUUGUCUUUUGUUGGUGAGUAAAUCUGCUCCGAUAAGUAUCUUUCCACCUCUGAUUUGUCAAAAUCCUCCAUUGUAGACAACUGGGUUUUACGUUCUUCUC